This is a long non-coding RNA of Polistes dominula (European paper wasp), 1307 nucleotides long. RefSeq lists it as uncharacterized. The record is from RefSeq and is a predicted model, not a curated record. NCBI's taxonomy places the organism in Eukaryota, Metazoa, Arthropoda, Insecta, Hymenoptera, Vespidae.
CUUGUCGUUGUCGUCGUCGUCGUUGUCGUCGUCGUCGUUGUCGUCGUCGUUGUCGUCGUCGUUGUCGUCGUCGUCGUCGUUAGUGGUGGGGGACUCGUGCUUUUGUGAAAGCUCAAUUGUAUCCGCCAUCUCGUGGAGCGUGCAACUCUCCUCGGUACACUCGAUACGCUUUUGCAUACGAAACCGAAUACGCUUGAAAUGACAUGUACAACAAGCUACAAAACGUUCUCGACGAAAAGAUACCAAAUGACAACCUUUUGAAAAUUAGAAAAUCAUCUGACGGAAUAUCAGCUAAAUUGGUGUUAUAACGUAACGGAAAUAAAAUCAAAUUUAACUCUUAAAGUUUAACCUUUUCUUUUUUUUUUUUUGUAAUUGUGGUUAUCAACUUGCAAACUACAAAUUAACGCAUCGUGAAAUGAAAUGUAGGGAUUUGAGAGAAAUAAAAUUGUUCGUAAAACUGCAAGUUCUGGGACGAGAACACUUGGCAGGAUUUGGUAUUUGUGGUAUUUGUGGUUAACGACUAUGAUGAAAAUGACGAGUCAACGACAACCUGGAUGAUGAUGAUGAAGAAGACGAAGAAGAAGAAGAUGAGGGAGGAUGAUGAGAAGGAUGAACGGAAACUCCGCUACGAGAUAAAGCGCACUUGGCCAGAGUCCCAGAGUUUGAGUUUCGCAAACUCUACAUCAUGAAGGUUGUACAUUCUCCGGAAUCGCACCUACUACCCACCCAGUUUACCUCUAACUCGAGAACAGAUCAUGUACUGCAAUGCGACCAAUGCGGGUCAUCCUAUCGAAAUUUAUCUUACGCGAACAGGAUUGCUCGCAUAUUUCUAUAUUGGAUACAUUGACGAUGAUUAGGGACAACGAGAACAAUAAUCGAAUAUUUUAAACUUCUUUUUCGUUUUUAUUUACUUUUCUAUAUUUCUUUUUUUUUUAUCCAUGCAUUACUACGAGUUACAUCAAAAUCUUUGAAGAUGAUAUUUUAGAGUGUUUUAGAUAUUUAUCAUUGACAAAUUAGAAUUUUCUAAUAUUUAUAUAUAUAUAUCGAUUACGAUGACUAUCGUACGUCAUAAAGAUCGACCUUGUUGCUAACGUUAUUACAAAAGACAAACAGCUUAGGGAAGAUUACGAAACUGUUGGGUGUCGUAACCAUCAAACUCAUGAAAUCCAAUAAUUAUCCUGUCGAUACGACCUUUCUCUACGACAAGAAACACUUGACAGUCUCAACGAUUGAUAAGCAUCAAUGUUUUUCUUUUUAAUUUAACACAUUUUUUUUCGUUUUUUCUUUUUUUUUUUCGAUACAAUCCA